Molecule: ribosomal RNA, 484 nt
Filed under: uncultured bacterium
Lineage: Bacteria
Description: partial 16S ribosomal RNA
Rfam family: Bacterial small subunit ribosomal RNA
Source: RNAcentral
AGUGGACGCUGGCGGCGUGCUUAACACAUGCAAGUCGAACGAGAACGGAUUAUAGCUUGCUAUAAUUGUCAGCUAAGUGGCGCACGGGUGAGUAAUGUAUAGGUAAUAUGCCUCUUACUAAGGGAUAACAAUUGGAAACGAUUGCUAAUACCUUAUACUCCUUAUUAACAUAAGUUAAUAAGGGAAAGAUUUAUUGGUAAGAGAUUAGCCUGUAUUGUAUCAGUUAGUUGGUGGGGUAAUGGCUUACCAAGACUAUGACACAUAACUGGUUUGAGAGGAUGAUCAGUCACACUGGAACUGAGACACGGUCCAGACUCCUACGGGAGGCAGUAGUGGGGAAUAUUGCACAAUGGACGAAAGUCUGAUGCAGCAACGCCGCGUGGAGGAUGACACAUUUCGGUGCGUAAACUCCUUUUAUAUGAGAAGAUAAUGACGGUAUUAUAUGAAUAAGCACCGGCUAACUCCGUGCCAGCCGCCGCAGUAA